RNAcentral lists this long non-coding RNA (389 nucleotides) under Elaeis guineensis (African oil palm). Its description in RNAcentral is "long non-coding RNA (EGUI_LNC014379)". Lineage: Eukaryota; Viridiplantae; Streptophyta; Magnoliopsida; Arecales; Arecaceae. The record is from RNAcentral.
UGUGGCAGGAUCAUAAUACCGCGUAUCUGCUUGCGGUAGGUUGUGAAUCAUCUGGUAGCCAUGUCCUUUGGAACCGCUGGUCUCGCUGGCGGUUUGUCGCUGGUCUCUCUGGCGACAUGUCGCUGGUCUUGCUGGCGACAUAAAUCUUCAGGACAAUCAAUUGCCAACGUAUAUGUCCCCAUUGGUGGGGUCUUUUACAUAGUCAGGUUGUCAAUUCAUAAUGUUUCUUAUAUCAUAAUUCUUCAUAAAUCAUAUUUCAUAUUCUAAUUUCGAUAAUAAAAUAUAUAAUCAUGUAGUAUCGAAAUCCACCAAUGUAAUGCAUCAUGAAAUCAAUAUGUUCAAUCAUGCUUCAUCAUAACAUUUCAAAUAAGAUAUUUUCAUAACAAAAU